UGCUGGGAAGGAGAUGGGUGCCUGUUCACAGGGCCCAGCUGGGUUGAUGUUGAGCUGGAAGCAGCCACAACGCACACCCCACAGUUUAAUCACCACCAAAAGUUGUGCCCUCAGGUGUGUACACAGGCUGAGCUGCAAGCCGGUAAUUACCAGCGGCAAUGCCAGGGGCUGUGGCCAUGCAGAGGGUGGUGAUCAGCAGCAUCAUGGCCUCAGACAGCAAACCUCUGCCAAGCUACCUUCGCAUUGAGAUGAAAUGGCUACUAAUAAAAUGAUGCCGGUGUUUAUUGCAGUGCUGUCACAUGACAUAUAUUUAUUUGACACUGUUAUAUUUAUGCCAUGGCGCUUGGCAGAUAUGAUUAUGAGCACGUUGUGGGGGGGGCUGCUUUUUUAUUGUUAUCUCUCAAGGCUGUUCAGGCCAAUUAAACAAACUACAGAAGGUUUGUGGUCUCUGAUAGCAAAAGCAAAUGUCCAGGCAAAUCACCUUACAACUCCACCCAGCAGAGACACAGAGCUACUGACUACCCUAAGAUUUUUUUUUUCUAUCUUUUUUUUUUUUUUUUUUUUUUCUCCUCUUCUGGAUGGGGAGGAUUUUUGAAAGGGAGCUGCACUGGUCCUCUGAUGUGGGACACUGAGCAGACGUGGCUCACAAGGUCUGGGUAAGCAGAAGGAAGAUGUGGGACUUAACACACUGCAUGGUGCACCCUGAACUGUGGCAUUCCACUGCUCUGAGUGGCUUCAAGGACCUUCACAGAUAAGGUAUCUAAAGACUCAUUUGAAAUGACUCAUGCUUGCCUAUUUAUAAAACAAAAGGGAGUCUCCAAUUAAAAACAAAACCAAACCAAAACAAGAAGCCCUUGGCAGCCCACGAGCUCAUUCCAGCUGCAGCGAGGCAGAGGGAAACAUGCAUGGGGUGCAGGGGACCACGACAGAGAGUUUGGGGCAGCUGUGGCCACCACACCCUUACCUUGCCACCGUGGUGCUUGUGGGACUUGGAGUGCUUCUUCUUGUGCUUCUUAUGGUGCUUCUGGUGGCAGCCAGGGUGGGCUGGUGGGCACCCCGGCACCCCUGGUGGGUGAUGCUCGUGGUGGUGGUGGCCCGGUGGGUGGUGGCCC
This 1112-nucleotide long non-coding RNA is filed under the name Anas platyrhynchos platyrhynchos (common mallard). Its description in RNAcentral is "lncRNA (ENSAPLG00000019020.1)". Lineage: Eukaryota; Metazoa; Chordata; Aves; Anseriformes; Anatidae. The record is from RNAcentral.